Ictidomys tridecemlineatus (thirteen-lined ground squirrel) is the source of this 67-nucleotide small nucleolar RNA. Its record names the gene SNORD42. It matches the Rfam family "Small nucleolar RNA SNORD42". From Rfam's summary of the family: snoRNA U42 is found in intron 3 of the ribosomal protein L23a (RPL23a) gene in humans and is also present in mice. U42 is a member of the C/D class of snoRNA which contain C (UGAUGA) and D (CUGA) box motifs. Most of the members of the box C/D family function in directing site-specific 2'-O-methylation of substrate RNAs. The record is from Ensembl. NCBI's taxonomy places the organism in Eukaryota, Metazoa, Chordata, Mammalia, Rodentia, Sciuridae.
GUGCAUAUGAUGGAAAAAUCGUGAUCUCCUGAGAUUUAUGAAGUUUUCAAAGGAACCACUGAUGCAC